Molecule: ribosomal RNA, 253 nt
Filed under: uncultured bacterium
Lineage: Bacteria
Description: partial 16S ribosomal RNA
Rfam family: Bacterial small subunit ribosomal RNA
Source: RNAcentral
UACGUAGGGUGCAAGCGUUGUCCGGAAUUAUUGGGCGUAAAGAGCUCGUAGGCGGUUUGUCGCGUCUGCUGUGAAAUCUGGGGGCUCAACCCCCAGCCUGCAGUGGGUACGGGCAGACUAGAGUGCGGUAGGGGAGAUUGGAAUUCCUGGUGUAGCGGUGGAAUGCGCAGAUAUCAGGAGGAACACCGAUGGCGAAGGCAGAUCUCUGGGCCGUAACUGACGCUGAGGAGCGAAAGCGUGGGGAGCGAACAGG